GACGAACGCUGGCGGCGUGCUUAACACAUGCAAGUCGAACGGAAAGGCCCUGCUUUUGUGGGGUGCUCGAGUGGCGAACGGGUGAGUAACACGUGAGUAACCUGCCCUUGACUUUGGGAUAACUUCAGGAAACUGGGGCUAAUACCGGAUAGGAGCUCCUGCUGCAUGGUGGGGGUUGGAAAGUUUCGGCGGUUGGGGAUGGACUCGCGGCUUAUCAGCUUGUUGGUGGGGUAGUGGCUUACCAAGGCUUUGACGGGUAGCCGGCCUGAGAGGGUGACCGGCCACAUUGGGACUGAGAUACGGCCCAGAAUCCUACGGGAGGCAGCAGUGGGGAAUAUUGCACAAUGGGCGGAAGCCUGAUGCAGCAGCGCCGCGUGCGGGAUGACGGCCUUCGGGUUGUAAACCGAUUUCGCCUGUGACGAAGCGUGAGUGACGGUAAUGGGUAAAGAAGCACCGGCUAACUACGUG
Molecule: ribosomal RNA, 468 nt
Filed under: uncultured bacterium
Lineage: Bacteria
Description: partial 16S ribosomal RNA
Rfam family: Bacterial small subunit ribosomal RNA
Source: RNAcentral